This 294-nucleotide ribosomal RNA is filed under the name Salmonella enterica subsp. enterica serovar Infantis. RNAcentral describes it as "partial 23S ribosomal RNA". It matches the Rfam family "Bacterial large subunit ribosomal RNA", at positions 1271 to 1566 of the family's 2925-position model. RNAcentral also lists the same sequence under 29 other names. Lineage: Bacteria; Pseudomonadati; Pseudomonadota; Gammaproteobacteria; Enterobacterales; Enterobacteriaceae. The record is from RNAcentral.
UGCUGGAGGUAUCAGAAGUGCGAAUGCUGACAUAAGUAACGAUAAAGCGGGUGAAAAGCCCGCUCGCCGGAAGACCAAGGGUUCCUGUCCAACGUUAAUCGGGGCAGGGUGAGUCGACCCCUAAGGCGAGGCCGAAAGGCGUAGUCGAUGGGAAACGGGUUAAUAUUCCCGUACUUGGUGUUACUGCGAAGGGGGGACGGAGAAGGCUAUGUUGGCCGGGCGACGGUUGUCCCGGUUUAAGCGUGUAGGUGUGUGUUCCAGGUAAAUCCGGUUCACUUUAACACUGAGGCGUGA